This 476-nucleotide long non-coding RNA is filed under the name Lactuca sativa (garden lettuce). Its description in RNAcentral is "long non-coding RNA (LSAT_LNC008954)". Lineage: Eukaryota; Viridiplantae; Streptophyta; Magnoliopsida; Asterales; Asteraceae. The record is from RNAcentral.
GAAAAUUUCAUUUUUUUAGAUAUUACUUUAGAAAAACAUUAAUAAAUAAAAACAUUGUCUAAAUAAAAAGAAACAUUGUUUGUUCACACCAUAACACAUUGCAACCAUGUUCUCAAAAGCCAAACCGUACAUCCCAUCAAAAUAUCAGAGUACAAUCCCAGUAAAUCUCAUAAAUGCGGAAACCGAAGAGUGUGUGUAUGACGUGCCGCUACCGCGCCGGCUCCUUCCCCUUCGAUGCAGAGGUACCUGAAAACAAAACUGUAAACGUAAGCACAAAGCUUAGUGAGUUCCCCCAACGUACCGCAUACCAUACAAACACAUAACAUAUAUACUGCCAGGCUAUUCUGGGGUGCCUGACUACCCGGUACGGCCAUUCUGGGGUGCCGACCUACCCAUACGGCCAUUCUGGGGUGCCGUCUUACCCGUGUCAAGCCAUUCUGGGGUGCUGACUACCCAUCGGUCCUAACAACCGAUCC